This 427-nucleotide ribosomal RNA is filed under the name uncultured bacterium. Its description in RNAcentral is "partial 16S ribosomal RNA". It matches the Rfam family "Bacterial small subunit ribosomal RNA", at positions 355 to 774 of the family's 1533-position model. The record is from RNAcentral.
UGGGGAAUAUUGCACAAUGGGCGCAAGCCUGAUGCAGCCAUGCCGCGUGUAUGAAGAAGGCCUUCGGGUUGUAAAGUACUUUCAGCGAGGAGGAAGGCGUUGUGGUUAAUAACCGCAGCGAUUGACGUUACUCGCAGAAGAAGCACCGGCUAACUCCGUGCCAGCAGCCGCGGAAAUACGGAGGGUGCAAGCGUUAAUCGGAAUUACGGGGCGUAAAGCGCACGCAGGCGGUCUGUCAAGUCGGAUGUGAAAUCCCCGGGCUCAACCUGGGAACUGCAUCCGAAACUGGCAGGCUAGAGUCUUGUAGAGGGGGGUAGAAUUCCAGGUGUAGCGGUGAAAUGCGUAGAGAUCUGGAGGAAUACCGGUGGCGAAGGCGGCCCCCUGGACAAAGACUGACGCUCAGGUGCGAAAGCGUGGGGAGCAAACA